Molecule: long non-coding RNA, 1172 nt
Organism: Callorhinchus milii (elephant shark)
Lineage: Eukaryota; Metazoa; Chordata; Chondrichthyes; Chimaeriformes; Callorhinchidae
Exons: 4
Source: RefSeq, a predicted model, not a curated record
UUUGAGUCGCCGUGUGCGGGUGCGCGCGCGCGCGCGCCGACAAAAAAAAAACCGUCGCUCGGUAGAAAAAAAAAGCCGUUACACGGUCCGUUGCUUUCUCGUUCUCGGCGGCCGGAGAGAUUUCAUCCGUGAUUCGAUCCCGUUGUCGUCGUCGUUGCUGCGGCUGCUCACAAUAGUAGUUUGUAUUAGUGUGCUGACAAUCAUGCGUUCAGAUGCAAGGCCAUAAAGUGAGUUACUUCUUUAGAAGAUUUGGAUCUGGGGUAUCCUCACACAGCAUUCACACAACAUCAGCUGUACCUAUCCAGACUGCUGCAUUCAUUGUACUUUUUUACAUUCCUGACAUGAGCCUUGUGGAUGGUGGAGAUGGCAGAUGGAAGCUUUGUAUUGGAAAAGAGUACUUGAAAUGGUAUUUUGAUCCAGACCAUUGGAGCAUCAAAAAUUGCAAGAGAUUUGGAAAUUUCAGUACUGUAAACAUAUCAGCACAGUACAGUACCUCCUGUGCUACAAAUAGGUGAAACAAGUGAGGAGCGUCAAACAGUCAUACAAACAUUCUCAAGUGUCUCCAGAUGAAGUUGUUUUCUGUUACUUGAUGAGUAAAAAUGCGGUGGAAUCAAAAUUAUUGCAGAGCUGUGGUACAGCCCAGUGGAUAAAUGCACUACCUGCCGUGCUAUUGUGCUAUACAAAUGAGGAAGAUGCCAGGUUGGACCAUUCGCCACAGUUGAAUAAGUUAAUCACAGUAGAGGAGCAAUGAGAACACUCCAUUUGCCUGCAGCACCAUCAGACAAGGGAAAUGAGAUUGAUUUCUCAUUCUAGAUUGCUAUCCAAUGACUACUGCUGAAAAUUGCAGAUGUGCAUUUGGGGGAGAUUAAGAUUCGGCUCAGCUGUAAAAUAGUCAAAUAGCUUUCACAUCAAGCAUGGGGUAUUAGAAGCACUGCUGGCAUACAUAAAGCAUGCAUGACAGGAUGAGGUAAAUAUUUGUUACUUCUAUUCAACCAUCUAAAAAAAUAAUUUGUAUUAAAAUGACUUCCACAAUAAUUGCCUCUUUGAACACUAAAAGAUCCAGUCUCAACAUAGCACCUUGUGACCAGAUAUACACUUUGCCGUUUCACCGUUGCUAUUUUCCCCACCGAAAUUACUGUAUUUGUAUAUGUAUUAGAAUACAUUAGAUUAUA